RNAcentral lists this long non-coding RNA (512 nucleotides) under Setaria italica (foxtail millet). RNAcentral's name for it is "long non-coding RNA (SITA_LNC001379)". The record is from RNAcentral. Lineage: Eukaryota; Viridiplantae; Streptophyta; Magnoliopsida; Poales; Poaceae.
CUCUAUAUAUCUCCAACUUUUGACAUGGCCAUACGAGGCAGCCAACCACACCACCCUUUCACCUUUGUGCGUGUGCGCGCGUCGGUCCCGAGACACACCGGACAGACGCUGAUCUCCUCCCGGUCCGGCAGACGUGCAGCUGCAGCGCACGCCGUCAUCACCAACCACUCCCCGCACUACAGCCCAAUCAAGGUCAUCGUCGCCUUUUCCGCACAGCGCCACCACCACUCCAUGAUCGCGGUCGCGCCCCAACCGCCCUAGCUUUGCAGGCGGACGUCGUCUCGCGGCCAAAGUGUCGCCCCCGUCGCGUCCCCUUCCCCUUGGCGUCGCACGCGCGCCCCGCCGCCCCCCUAUAUAACCGAGCGGCGCGCCAGAGGCUUUUUCUUGCAUCGGUGAUCACUGAUCGCCCAGGUGUUCGAGCCCGCGUGCUGUGCGAGAGGGAUGGCGGCGAGCGGCAGGGGCGGCGCGGCGGCAAGUGCUCUGCUAGUAGUGCUGGUGGCGUUCGUGUGCUU